Bos grunniens (domestic yak) is the source of this 1919-nucleotide long non-coding RNA. The record is from Ensembl. NCBI's taxonomy places the organism in Eukaryota, Metazoa, Chordata, Mammalia, Artiodactyla, Bovidae.
GAUGGGUGCAGCAUAUCUUGCUCUGACUGCCAUGGCUCAUCAUUCAUUCACUCACUCAUUCAUUCUUUCCCAGGACCCCUACCACCACCACUAGCUUUAUCUGAAUGCCCUAGGGCUAUUUAAUUUUCCUAGGGGCACUUACGACUCGAUGAGACCAUCUUUUGUAUGUAUUUGCUUCUAUAGAGUGGGUCUCCCCAGCUUGAGAAUAAGCUUUAUGAGAGCAGGCACCUUGGCAGUCUUCAUCAUGCUGUGGGGUGAGCUGUAUUGGUACUCAGGGAUUACUACUCAAGGACUGACUGGCUGAAUUAUGUAAAUGGUUGUUGAGUGGCUACCAUGGUGCAGACACUGGACUAGGUGAGGGGACAUGCAAUCAAAGCAGCCUUCUUAAGAGAGCAUGGCCAGAGAGAGAGCAGGGAUGUGCACCCCUACAGGAUGACCUGACUGCGGGCACCAUAGGGUCUGCUGCUGGGGAGGCACAGAGGAGAUGCGUGUUUGAGCCCCAAGCCAGGAUUCCUCCCCGGCACCUGCAGCCCCAUCUCCAAGCUCACUUCCCUGGGAAUCUCACCCACUAGCAUAAGAGCUCCUCCAGAGUCACACAUGUCUCUCUAAGGGCAGAGCCAUAAUGUUACAUUUGCCUAUAACAUUACUUGACUGCCUCUCUAUACUGUUUCCAAAAGUUCUGUGGACAGCCCUGCUUGGGACCAUAACUCCAUGCAUCCAUAUGGCCUCCAUGCCUACCAUGGCGUCCAGUUCUGGGGCACCCAGUCACUCUCUGUUGAACAAAGGAAUGGACAGGGAAGAGUUAUGGGUAUCUGGUGGCACCACUGGUCAUCAAGGAAUUUCCCCAACCUGGCAGAGCAAACUGAGGAGCCCUCAGAUCAAGUACAAAGGACCCCAGAACCUUGGGGAGGUGGUGAAUAUAAAGGAUCUUCUUGGACUUUGAGUCAUUCUAGCCCUCUGGGCCAUCCCAAGAGUCAGAUUCCUUCAUAACUUUGGAGAACAUUCUAGUCCUCGAAUAUUCUCUACCCCAUUUUCACAAAGUUGUCGACCAGCAUACAUUUGGUUAUCCCCCUCUCUCAUGAUGGUGAAUUCACCACCACUUAUUUAGGCCCAUUCUAUCUUUGGACAGCUUUAAUUGUAAGAAAGUCUUCCCCCAUAGCAAGUGUAUAUACAUUCACUGGUCUUUGUUCUUUGCUCUCAAGAUUAACAGAAUCAAUAUGGCUUCUGUUCCAACUAGAAGCCCUUAGAAUCUGAAGAUCCUCUGCCCCUUGAGUCUUCUCCCCCAGUUUGACAUUCCCAUGUCCUCUUUCUGGUCAUGGCCUGUUCUCACCAUCUUGAUUUCUCCCUCCGGACCUUGCUGAUUGUCCCUGUCCCUCUUAAAAUGGACCACACACUCCCAACAGGGUCUGACCAUCACAGAUCUGGGGCCUCUGCACCCCCUCAUUCUGGGUCCUAAAGUUCUCUUCAUACUGCUCAAAGUCAGGCCACUACUUCUGGCAAGGUGCUAGCUCUUACCAGCCCUGACCCAACCAGAAUCACCCUGUCUGCCCACUGGUGUCAUUCCAUUGCCCACACAUCAUGCCCUUGUGCAGAGGAUGGUUUGAGGACCAAAGAACCAGACUGUGCCUCUGUCCCUGUUCGAUGCCAUCUGGUCAAAUCUGGGCCUCAAAUUAAGUUUAGAUCUGGAUUCCGUCAUCCAGCAUUGCUCCCAACUAUGUGUUAGCAGCCUUCAGUUCUUGAGAAUGGCAGUGUGCUCAGCCAGCAUGCCACUGAAAAGUGCCACCACCAGUAGAGACUUCCCUCUAAGUUGACAAACACACAUUAAUCACCGUUAUUUGGAGAUGAAAUUCCUACCAGUUAUAUCUACUAUCCUAUCAUCCUACCCACAGUUAACCAUUUUGUCCCUAAACAUGUCCCAG